UCCCUCAUAGCUCAGUUGGUAGAGAAUCUGCCUGCAGUGCAGGAGACCUGAGUUCGAUUCCUGGGUUGGGAA
RNAcentral lists this transfer RNA (72 nucleotides) under Bos taurus (domestic cattle). It matches the Rfam family "tRNA". Rfam says of the family: Transfer RNA (tRNA) molecules are approximately 80 nucleotides in length. Their secondary structure includes four short double-helical elements and three loops (D, anti-codon, and T loops). Further hydrogen bonds mediate the characteristic L-shaped molecular structure. tRNAs have two regions of fundamental functional importance: the anti-codon, which is responsible for specific mRNA codon recognition, and the 3' end, to which the tRNAs corresponding amino acid is attached (by aminoacyl-tRNA synthetases). tRNAs cope with the degeneracy of the genetic code in two manners: having more than one tRNA (with a specific anti-codon) for a particular amino acid; and 'wobble' base-pairing, i.e. permitting non-standard base-pairing at the 3rd anti-codon position. RNAcentral also lists the same sequence under 2 other names. Lineage: Eukaryota; Metazoa; Chordata; Mammalia; Artiodactyla; Bovidae. The record is from Rfam by way of RNAcentral.